This 497-nucleotide ribosomal RNA is filed under the name uncultured bacterium. RNAcentral describes it as "partial 16S ribosomal RNA". It matches the Rfam family "Bacterial small subunit ribosomal RNA", at positions 28 to 507 of the family's 1533-position model. The record is from RNAcentral.
GAUGAACGCUGGCGGCGUGCCUAAUACAUGCAAGUCGAGCGAACAGAUGAGGAGCUUGCUCCUCUGACGUUAGCGGCGGACGGGUGAGUAACACGUGGAUAACCUACCUAUAAGACUGGGAUAACUUCGGGAAACCGGAGCUAAUACCGGAUAAUAUAUUGAACCGCAUGGUUCAAUAGUAAAAGACGGUUUUGCUGUCACUUAUAGAUGGAUCCGCGCCGCAUUAGCUAGUUGGUAAGGUAACGGCUUACCAAGGCAACGAUGCGUAGCCGACCUGAGAGGGUGAUCGGCCACACUGGAACUGAGACACGGUCCAGACUCCUACGGGAGGCAGCAGUAGGGAAUCUUCCGCAAUGGGCGAAAGCCUGACGGAGCAACGCCGCGUGAGUGAUGAAGGUCUUCGGAUCGUAAAACUCUGUUAUUAGGGAAGAACAAAUGUGUAAGUAACUAUGCACGUCUUGACGGUACCUAAUCAGAAAGCCACGGCUAACUACGUG